RNAcentral lists this ribosomal RNA (389 nucleotides) under uncultured bacterium. RNAcentral's name for it is "bacterial SSU rRNA". It matches the Rfam family "Bacterial small subunit ribosomal RNA", at positions 28 to 412 of the family's 1533-position model. The record is from RNAcentral.
GAUGAACGCUAGCGGCAGGCUUAAUACAUGCAAGUCGAGGGGUAACAUGGGGUAGCAAUACUCUGAUGACGACCGGCAAACGGGUGCGGAACACGUACGCAACUUUCCCAAAACUGGUGAAUAGCCCUCCGAAAGGAGGAUUAAUACACCGUAACAUAUAGAGGUGGCAUCGCCUUUAUAUUAUAGCUCCGGCGGUUUUGGAUGGGCGUGCGCCUGAUUAGGUAGUUGGUGUGGUAACGGCUCACCAAGCCUACGAUCAGUAACUGGUGUGAGAGCACGACCAGUCACACGGGCACUGAGACACGGGCCCGACUCCUACGGGAGGCAGCAGUAAGGAAUAUUGGACAAUGGGGGCAACCCUGAUCCAGCCAUGCCGCGUGUGUGAAGAA